UAUUGUCAUUAGUAAAUGUGGAAGUAUGACCUGCUUUAAGUUCAGAUUUGUUAGAAGAAAGACGAAAUAUGGUGCUUAAAAUUCUGUGCAUUGUGUUAUUUGAUUGGGAUUUUUUAUGAAAAAAAGUGAAAUAAUUUGUUCAGAGGAGAGAGAUAAUCUCAGCCCUUUAAAAUUCAUUUUUUGGGAUUUAUAAUAAUAUGGUUUAGUUAUUUAUGAAGCGAUGAAUAAUGAGUUAGGAUAAUAAUUUUAUAGAAUUAUAUUUGAAAUCCAAGGCAUGGAAGACAUCGUCUUGUUUUAGUGCUAUUUUACAAAUGAUAUCAACGGUAGUGAUGUUAUAUUAAUUUCAGGAUGCAUUAUAGUGGUGUUUUACAUUUUAUGAUUAUGAGUAAGAAAAAUCGUCCAUUGUUUUUACCAAAUGUAUUAUUUUACUG
This 431-nucleotide long non-coding RNA is filed under the name Mytilus galloprovincialis (Mediterranean mussel). The record is from RNAcentral. Lineage: Eukaryota; Metazoa; Mollusca; Bivalvia; Mytilida; Mytilidae.